This 833-nucleotide long non-coding RNA is filed under the name Elaeis guineensis (African oil palm). RNAcentral describes it as "long non-coding RNA (EGUI_LNC010823)". The record is from RNAcentral. Lineage: Eukaryota; Viridiplantae; Streptophyta; Magnoliopsida; Arecales; Arecaceae.
GGUGCCAUCCAAAAUUUUGUUAUAGCUCACGAAGGCGUCUAUAAAGCUCAAAAAUUAAUAUCCCGAAGUUGCAUCAACUAGUUAAUCGAUCUUUGAUAAAGAAAAGAUGUCCUUCGGACAAGCUUCAUUUAAAUUAGUGUAGUCAAUACAGAUUCUCUAUUUUUUAUUAAUUUUUUUCACCAUCAUUAUAUUAGCGAUCCAAUCUGGAUAAUUAGCUUUUCUAAUGAAGCCAGCCGCGAGAAGCUUGUCAACUUCUUUAUCGAUGACCUUCUGCCUUUCAGGAGAAAAAAGUCUUUUCUUCUGCCUCACCGGUCUAACUUUGGGUCAAUGUUCAACUGGUAAGUUAUUACUUUUGGAGGAAUCUCUGGCAUAUCGAUUGUCAAUUAAGCAAAAAUAUCGGUAUUUGCCCUUAGCAGAUUCACUAGUUGUUUUCAUUCCGGAUCAGAUAAUUGCGAUCCAAUUUAGAUCGAUUUUUUAGGAUUAUCUUCUCUUAAUGGGAUAGAAAUCAAUUGUUCAGCUGGUUUAUCUCUUUUUUCAUUUUCUCUUUGAUCCAGUUUAUCAAUCGACAAAGAGUCUUUAAGUUGACUAUUCUUUGCAGAGACCAUAAAGCAAUAUCUAGUAAGUUACUGAUCUCUGCAUAUUUUUUCAACUUUAUUUUUUAUCGAAAAUCAGAUCAAUAAAUGAUAUAUUGAUACUAUCGCUCUCAAGACAUUGAGUUCUGAUUGUCUAAGUAUGGCAUUCUAAGUCGAAGGAACUCGGACGAUCGUGAAUGUUAAGAAAACGGUACUUUAUUAUGGAUCAGUUUCUGUAGUUAGUGGGAGAGUAAUUUUUUC